This 71-nucleotide transfer RNA is filed under the name Acidimicrobiales bacterium. RNAcentral describes it as "tRNA-Gly". It matches the Rfam family "tRNA". Rfam says of the family: Transfer RNA (tRNA) molecules are approximately 80 nucleotides in length. Their secondary structure includes four short double-helical elements and three loops (D, anti-codon, and T loops). Further hydrogen bonds mediate the characteristic L-shaped molecular structure. tRNAs have two regions of fundamental functional importance: the anti-codon, which is responsible for specific mRNA codon recognition, and the 3' end, to which the tRNAs corresponding amino acid is attached (by aminoacyl-tRNA synthetases). tRNAs cope with the degeneracy of the genetic code in two manners: having more than one tRNA (with a specific anti-codon) for a particular amino acid; and 'wobble' base-pairing, i.e. permitting non-standard base-pairing at the 3rd anti-codon position. RNAcentral also lists the same sequence under 1 other name. Lineage: Bacteria; Bacillati; Actinomycetota; Acidimicrobiia; Acidimicrobiales. The record is from RNAcentral.
GCGGGUGUAGUUCAAUGGUAGAACAUCAGCUUCCCAAGCUGAAUACGCGGGUUCGAUUCCCGUCACCCGCU